RNAcentral lists this long non-coding RNA (214 nucleotides) under Cricetulus griseus (Chinese hamster). RNAcentral's name for it is "lncRNA (ENSCGRG00000025336.1)". Lineage: Eukaryota; Metazoa; Chordata; Mammalia; Rodentia; Cricetidae. The record is from RNAcentral.
CUGAUGACAAAACUAUGAUGCUGAGAAGACAAUUCCCUCCUUCAAGACACUUAGUAAGAGGUUGCUCAUGGGAGAGCAAGCUGGCUGCGGGAGAUGCUGGGCACCCAUCCAUGGUAACAGAGACUGAGUUACAGAGCCACUGCAACGUCACCACUGAGUUUGAAUGAAGAAAGUCUCAAUUUGAGGUCUUCUCUGUGCAUAUUCACUAGCAAGC